ACACAUGCAAGUCGAACGGCAGCACGGUCUAGUUUACUAGAUGGGUGGCGAGUGGCGGACGGGUGAGUAAUGCGCAGGAAUAUACCUUAAAGAGGGGGAUAACUUGGGGAAACUCAAGCUAAUACCGCAUACACUCUGAGGAGGGAAGCUGGGGACCUUCGGGCCUGGCGCUUUAAGAUUAGCCUGCGUCCGAUUAGCUAGUUGGUAGGGUAAAGGCCUACCAAGGCGACGAUCGGUAGCUGGUCUGAGAGGAUGACCAGCCACACUGGAACUGAGACACGGUCCAGACUCCUACGGGAGGCAGCAGUGGGGAAUAUUGGACAAUGGGGGGAACCCUGAUCCAGCAAUGCCGCGUGUGAGAAGAAGGCCUGAGGGUUGUAAAGCACUUUCAGUGGGGAGGAGGAUUGACAGGUUAAGAGCUAGUUAAUUGGACGUUACCCACAGAAGGAGCACCGGCUAACUCCGG
RNAcentral lists this ribosomal RNA (466 nucleotides) under uncultured eubacterium WJGRT-129. RNAcentral's name for it is "bacterial SSU rRNA". It matches the Rfam family "Bacterial small subunit ribosomal RNA", at positions 51 to 506 of the family's 1533-position model. The record is from RNAcentral.